Molecule: unclassified non-coding RNA, 230 nt
Filed under: Glomus sp.
Lineage: Eukaryota; Fungi; Glomeromycota; Glomeromycetes; Glomerales; Glomeraceae
Description: partial internal transcribed spacer 2
Source: RNAcentral
GUGAAUCAUCGAAUCUUUGAACGCAAAUUGCACUCAUUACGGAGAGUAUGGCUGUUUGUGGGUCAGCGUAAAAAAAAUCGACAUCGUUGAGGUUUCGGGUUGGCGUUUGUCGGUACUUGGGUUAUCUUAAACCUUUGGUUUAAGCGACUUAAAAUUUUCUUUACGAUUUGAUGAUUGUUUCUAAGAGUUUGUUCUUUACUAGGUUAUGGUAUCGAUACUAUUAGGCGUGG